This 122-nucleotide ribosomal RNA is filed under the name Escherichia coli. RNAcentral's name for it is "partial 16S ribosomal RNA". It matches the Rfam family "Bacterial small subunit ribosomal RNA", at positions 1424 to 1533 of the family's 1533-position model. The record is from RNAcentral. Lineage: Bacteria; Pseudomonadati; Pseudomonadota; Gammaproteobacteria; Enterobacterales; Enterobacteriaceae.
AAGUAGGUAGCUUAACCUUUGGGAGGGCGCUUACCACUUUGUGAUUCAUGACUGGGGUGAAGUCGUAACAAGGUAACCGUAGGGGAACCUGCGGUUGGAUCACCUCCUUACCUUAAAGAAGC